RNAcentral lists this ribosomal RNA (429 nucleotides) under Verrucomicrobiota bacterium. Its description in RNAcentral is "Verrucomicrobia bacterium partial 16S ribosomal RNA". It matches the Rfam family "Bacterial small subunit ribosomal RNA", at positions 355 to 776 of the family's 1533-position model. The record is from RNAcentral. Lineage: Bacteria; Pseudomonadati; Verrucomicrobiota.
UAGGGAAUCUUCCGCAAUGGACGAAAGUCUGACGGAGCAACGCCGCGUGAGUGAAGAAGGAUUUCGGUUCGUAAAACUCUGUUGUUAGGGAAGAAAAAAUGUAUAGUAACUAUAUACAAAAGAGACGGUACCUAACCAGAAAGCCACGGCUAACUACGUGCCAGCAGCCGCGGUAAUACGUAGGUGGCAAGCGUUGUCCGGAAUUAUUGGGCGUAAAGCGCGCGCAGGUGGUUUAGAAAGUCUGAUGUGAAAGCCCACGGCUCAACCGUGGAGGGUCAUUGGAAACUAAUAAACUUGAGUGCAGGAGAGAAAAGCGGAAUUCCUAGUGUAGCGGUGAAAUGCGUAGAGAUUAGGAGGAACACCGGUGGCGAACGCGGCUUUUUGGCCUGCAACUGACACUGAGGCGCGAAAGCGUGGGGAGCAAACAGG